UCGCGGGUACCAGCCGGCAAUACGGCUAUCAGCCGGGCGUGUCUGUAGUAUAGUAUACUACAGACACGCCCGGCUGAUAGCCGUAUUGCCGGCUGGUACCCGCGAUGUA
This 109-nucleotide microRNA precursor is filed under the name Paramuricea clavata. It matches the Rfam family "mir-50 microRNA precursor family". The record is from RNAcentral. Lineage: Eukaryota; Metazoa; Cnidaria; Anthozoa; Malacalcyonacea; Plexauridae.